This 26-nucleotide non-coding RNA is filed under the name Mus musculus (house mouse). Lineage: Eukaryota; Metazoa; Chordata; Mammalia; Rodentia; Muridae. The record is from RNAcentral.
UAGAGGUCACAUUCCCUAUGAAGUCC